Molecule: transfer RNA, 360 nt
Filed under: uncultured Microcystis sp.
Lineage: Bacteria; Bacillati; Cyanobacteriota; Cyanophyceae; Chroococcales; Microcystaceae
Description: partial 16S-23S ribosomal RNA intergenic spacer
Rfam family: tRNA (bases 134-207)
Source: RNAcentral
AAAGGGAGACCUAAUUCGGGUAUGGGAUGAAAAAAAAGUAGUCCCUACCAAGAAUCAAUCCCAAAAGGUCGGAGCGAGGCAUAAGGCUUUCAAACUAGGUUCUGGGUUCACACAAGACCUGAAUCAGGAACAAGGGCUAUUAGCUCAGGUGGUUAGAGCGCACCCCUGAUAAGGGUGAGGUCCCUGGUUCGAGUCCAGGAUGGCCCACCUGCACAGGUGGCAAAAACAAGAGAAGCGAGGAAUCAGCACCUUAUCUUAUAUACAUAUAUAAGAGAGAAUGCUGGCUCUGAGUACAGAGUCCAGAGGAACCUUGAAAACUGCAUAGAGCUAGGUGAAAAAGCCAAAAAAGAAGACCGCAAG